Molecule: long non-coding RNA, 5156 nt
Organism: Manis pentadactyla (Chinese pangolin)
Lineage: Eukaryota; Metazoa; Chordata; Mammalia; Pholidota; Manidae
Exons: 4
Source: RefSeq, a predicted model, not a curated record
AACUACUGCAGGAUUAACAGCUCCACAUGUGGGGUGCGGCUGCACGCGGCUCUGCUGGGGCCUCCUUGCGCAGUCAGCCGGUGGUGUGAACGCUCAGUGUUAAAAGUGACACCAGCGAGAUGGAGGCGUCACUGUCAGCUGUAGUAAGAGAUGACACCCAGGCCUACAGGGUUGGGUGAGAGCUCAGGAGCGGCAGCCCCUCCCUGCCUGGGUCCCAGGAUCCCAGGGACUGGAGGGGAGGGGUCCAACAUUAAAUGAGCUUGGUGGGUCCACUGAAGGGGAGGAAUCUGUCCCAGGCGGGCAAAGUAUGGGAAACUGAAGCUGUGAGGAUGUGGAGGAACGUGGCAAGGUCAAGAGGCUGAGAGCAAGAAGGGAAGGGGCCCUGCAGCAGGAAGAGCCGCUCUGCAGAGGGCUGGCUGCCCAGUUCUAUUUUCUCCAACAAACUUCGGCCAGCUGCCCAUUCGGUUAUGCAGACUGCAGUUGUAAUUUUCACAAAAGAGGUUAUAAACAACCUCUAGGAUUUAUAUUCCAGUUGUGAAAAUGUUACUGACACACCUGAAACAUUUAAGGAGGAAUGUAAAAUGCACUCUUGUCUGGCGUUGGGUUCUGAGGGAAAAUGGCCCGCUUUUGGAAUACUUAGGAGGAAGGAGAGUUUGGUGAGAGCACAGAAAUGUUCUAACAACUGCUUCUUUCUCUGCUGCUACCAUCACCAAAGCUGAGAGCAGGAGAGGGAAGAGGAAAGGAGGGGCUGAGAAGAGAGGCAGGGAGAAGAGGUAAUUUAAUGUGCCAGUGUGUGAAUGGGGCAAGGCAUGGCAAUCCAUUUUGCAGGUGGGGAAAUUGAGAUCCAAAGCUCCUAACGGGCUUCCCCCAGAGGCAGAGAUGCAACUUGAGCCAAAAUCAUGCAACCUGGUGCAUUCAGCGGGGAUGCUUGGAUGCAUUUUCUCUCACAGGCUUUGGUUGUAGGUCUAAGUAUUGCGCGGCCGGCAUGGACUGGGGGCUGGAUCAAGGUUCAUUGUAAAGUAAAACUCAAGAACAUCCACUCCUUUGGGGUGUGACAUAAAACAACUCACCUCCACCAUUACGGUUUACAAAACACUCUCCUAUUUAUUAUCUCAUUUUCUCCUCACAGCAACCCUGUGACAAACACAUCGUUACUACCAUUUUGCAUCUUAGGAAACUGAGGCUCAGAGAAGGAAUACACUGUGGUGUUGGGAGAGCCCCUUAGGAAUAGAAAGGAUCCUGGGACGUCUGAUUCCACCGCAGGCACGUUUAAAUCUCACAAGUCACUCAGGACAACCCAGCUAUUAACUAAUUUGCUUGUCCUGUCCCCUUUCCUCUUCCAACGUGACUUGCCCUCUGCGAGCCCAGCCUGGAGGUGAUUGGACCUGAAGUGGGUUUAGAGGGAGCCUCUCAUUGGCUGGCCAGCAGCCAAUCAGAUACUUCUGUAGAUCCUCCUAGGUCUACCCUGGGAGCUCCCCGCGGAGCUCCGAUGGAGGAUGGUCUUGGGGGACGUUAGCUUGCAGUCUGCAUGUGCCUGUUUCCGAGGUCCUCAAAGCUGCCCUCAUUUCUCCCUCAGUCUCCACCCUCAUACCCCCCACACCUCCUGUAAUGUGUGAGUCCCAGAUCCCUAAUAACCUUUCCUUUCUAACCCAAGGUUAUCAGUAUUUCCUGCUCCGUGGAAGUCAAGUAGCCCAAGGAAAACCACCUUGCAGAAUUCAGGGAGGGGUUUCAGUUGCUGGUCCUCAGCAAGGCCACACAUCUUGAUGAGGUUUCUCCAGCAAACUUAAACCAAGAUGUCAGUUUUCACCUCCACAUUCUGUCACAGGUGAAACCUACAUGUGCACCCCUCCUCCUGGGAAUGCCUUACGAGCAUGCAGGAAACUUCAGAGCUGGUGGCCUAUCGUGGUCCAUCUGCCUGGGGCUGACCAUGGGCAGAGCAACAGAGGCCUUUGGAUGUCCACUGGCAGGAAAGUCUUCCACCAGAUGGGCAGCGCAUCCGCUCGGCACAGCCCGAGGAGGCGGAAGCGCGGCUACAGCGCCGCAGAGAGAGCCUCCAGCGUGCAGCUGCAGCGCGGGGGAGAUGGAGCCGGGGCUCCUUCCCUGCCCGCCCCGCCCCGCUGCGCCAGCUCGGGGACCAGGGCUCAGGCCACCGCAUCGCGCUGUGUAGCACGCCCGGAGCCGGUGGCUGGCCUAAGCUUCUCCUCUUGCUGGGCACCCUUGCUCUGGCGGCGUCAGGAAACCCCUCCCUGCUCUGGCAGGGCUAAGGAACCCUCAGCCUGGGCCCCCAAAUGCCCUCUCCCUAGAUGGCUGUGACUAUGUGACCUUGGGCAAGUUACCCCCCAUCUCAGUGCUUCUGCUUCCUUCUCUGAGAAAAAGAGUUAAUAACACACAUUCCUGGCUGCUUGCAAGGAUUGAAGGAGAGAGGUGUAUAUUACUGGCUAUAGUCUUGGCUCAAUAAAUGAGAGGAGAUUUGAAGUUUGGAGAGCAGGUAGGAUGUUUUAAAAGGGAUUUCUCCUUUUCCUGAUGCGGGACUUUGGCUUCUGUUUCUUGCUCCAUAUGCAGUGGUUGCAGGAAGACUCUCCAAUAGGAGGUCAUCAUACCGCACCCUCUGUGUAGCCCCAUUCAGGGCUCUCACAAAGUAGCCAUCCUGCAGUUCACACCCUUAGAUGCAGCCAGGUCCAGACCUGGCAGUUCCAGGACAGCUGUGUUGCUUUGCUCAUCCAGCUCCCUCCCUCUUGGUGCCUCUGCAGAAAUUUUAGUGACAGGGGUCACAGUAUGGGCAUGAGGCCAGAGAGUCUGGAGCACCUGGCCCCUUGCAGGUCUACAUUGUUAUUCAGUCUGCCCCUUGAGCUCGAUGUUACCUCUUCCUUUACCUACCAAUCCCUCCUCUUGGAGGCAGCUCUCCGGGCAGGUGCCAAGCCUCCUUCAUUCUGCUUCUCUAGCAUCUAACACAGCGCCGAGCACAUAGUAGAUGCCUAGUGAUGGUGGCCUGGGUGGUAUGGGUGAGCAGCACCUGGAAAAACUUCUUUCCACAAAUAACUAACAUCUGUAAAGUCUAAAGCUAUACUGUUGAUCAGUUCUUUGGACAUAAUAUGCAGUCUAACUACAUAAUAUGCAAAGCUCACUGUAAAUGAAAAUGUGGGCCCUUUGUUAAAAAGUUAGGAAUUUCAAGAUGGCCACAGCAGAACACUGAACUAAGCACAGAGCUCUUCUGGGCAGGGAACCCUCAUGAGCUCAGAUACCUGCACUACUGACAGGUCACAUACCCAUGAAGCACCCCUGCCUUUGGGUCUUGGAGUUUAGACAUCCUGAAUGUCUCUUAUUAAAACAUCACCACUACCCCACUCAACCACCCUUCCUGAGGCAAUGCUUGCAAUGUGGCCAUACUCAGCCAAAAAGCAACAUUUCCCUUGUUAGGAAAGAGCUUCUGAAAAUCCUGGAAUCAGUGAGCAAGGAUGUGGCCAUUCUUCCAGACAGGACAGACCAAAACAGUUCUGAUUGAAAACAAAAACAAGACCCUAAGUAAAUUCUCCUUUAGAGUGACUCACAAGCUUCUCAGCCCCCUGCCCUACCCUGCCCUCUGCCCUGCUAAUAAGGUCUCUCUUCAGUUCUGUGACUAUUUAUUAAGCAUUCUCUGCAUGCAGGCACUGCUAUAGGCCCCAGGGAUAAAACAGUGUCCAGUGUCAAUAAAACCCCUGCCCUCCUAGGACUGGCAUUGUAGUGGGGAAAAUCGAAAAUAAAUUUACAUAAAGAGACAGAUGUAUAGUAUAAUGUCAGGUGGUGCUGAGUGCUAACUGACAAUAAAUAUAUAAAUAAAUAAAUGCAGGUUAAGAGGACAGAGAGUAAGGUGGGUGUAAUGGUAGAUAGACUGGUCAGGGAAGGCCUCCCUGAGGAGGUGCCUUUUGAGUGGAGACCUGGAAAGGUGAAGGGCAAGCCACACCCAGGUCUGUGGGUUGGGUGUUCCAGGCUGAGGGAAUAGUAAGUGCAAAGGCCCUGAGGCAGGAAAGUGACUGGCAAGAGUAGCAAGGGGGCAGACAGGUAGUGUGGUAGGGGAUGAGAUGACAGAGGUCAUGGGGACCCAGAGCAUGCAGGAGCUUGCAGCUUCUUGAGGAGUUCCGAUUGGAUACCAAUUGGCCAGAGGGCAGUAACUCAUUAGUGUAAUUGAUAGCAGGCUGUCAUUUCCCAUCCCACAGGUGACUCCCAAACUACCUUUCCUGGCAUACUGAGCUCCGUAUUUCGGCAGAGCCUCUCAGGAGACAUGGCAAGAUAGCAGGGGACACAGGAAAUGAGAGGGGCCUGGGUUCCAGUCUCUCUUCUGUGGUUACUGCUUUGGGACUUGGGUGCAAUGCUUAAACUCUCCAUCUGGACUCCUUUAUCACAUCCUGCUGUUUUGUUGGGAGGGCUAAGGAUGUAGAGCACCAAGCAGGAAGCCUGGCACACAGUAGGCAUUCACAGGUAUUUGGUAAGUGUAAUAGCUACAGUUAGCCCUUCUACCUUUUCCAGAGGGUUCACUAUUGGUUUUAAUCGCAGCAUCCCUUGAAUUCCAAUGCCUCCACCCUUUGGGGGAACAAUAGUGUUCUGUUUUGUACAGUGUCUUCAAGUUUCCUUCCUGAGGAGAAAAAGGACAGGAGCUUGAUGUUUGUUCAAUACCAACCCCCUGCUUGCUAUCUACUGUUCAUGAGUCCAUUGGCAAGCCCAGGAUGUGGGCACUGUUACCCCAUUUCAUGGGUAAAGAAGCUGAGGUUCAGAGGGGUUCAGGGAUGUAGUGUCACAGCUGGUCAGUGGCAGACUUGAGGUCAGCCUGGUGACAUUGGAAGCCAGCUGGCUGUUCCUUCCAUGGUUUUCCUGGGAAGGAAACCCAAGGGUCAAUGAUUAUGGACUCAGCUGGGCUCUGGGGUCCAAUGCUGGGAUCUGAAUCUUGCCUAUGCGUCUCCCAUGGAAGUUACUGAGACCCCUGUCUAAUUGCUCUGUGCCUCAGAAUAAUAGCCCCCUUACCCCAUAAGGUAAUUGUGAGAAAGAAAUGGUAAGUCCCUGCCUGGAAUACAAUCAUUGCUCAAAUAAUCUUACCAACCAUAUUAUUGGAAAGCUGUAACCCAGUAUUUUCUUAGUAAUGCUUUCUGAAACAGACCUUCCAGGCAUACCUUCUCUUUUUUCUU